GAUUCUGCAGCACCGUCUGCAUCCCCCUGUUCUGCUUCAUCAGGUUGCCCCCCUACCAUUAUAGAAGUAAGGGUGGCAGGUGAGUGUGGUAGCAUGAAUGUACCGUCCGGGUUAACCAUGGGGUACAAGGUAGAGAACACCGGGGCACUAGGGG
Molecule: long non-coding RNA, 154 nt
Organism: Bufo bufo (common toad)
Lineage: Eukaryota; Metazoa; Chordata; Amphibia; Anura; Bufonidae
Exons: 4
Source: RefSeq, a predicted model, not a curated record